RNAcentral lists this transfer RNA (91 nucleotides) under Burkholderia cepacia. Its description in RNAcentral is "tRNA-Leu". It matches the Rfam family "tRNA". Rfam says of the family: Transfer RNA (tRNA) molecules are approximately 80 nucleotides in length. Lineage: Bacteria; Pseudomonadati; Pseudomonadota; Betaproteobacteria; Burkholderiales; Burkholderiaceae. The record is from RNAcentral.
GCCCGGAUGGUGAAAUUGGUAAACACCGCAGACUUAAAAUUUGCCGCAUCUUUAUCGAUGCUUGCCGGUUCGAUUCCGGUUCCGGGCACCA